RNAcentral lists this ribosomal RNA (377 nucleotides) under uncultured Streptococcus sp. RNAcentral describes it as "bacterial SSU rRNA". It matches the Rfam family "Bacterial small subunit ribosomal RNA", at positions 1004 to 1382 of the family's 1533-position model. Lineage: Bacteria; Bacillati; Bacillota; Bacilli; Lactobacillales; Streptococcaceae. The record is from RNAcentral.
AGAUAGAAAGUUACUUCGGUUACAUCGGUGACAGGUGGUGCAUGGUUGUCGUCAGCUCGUGUCGUGAGAUGUUGGGUUAAGUCCCGCAACGAGCGCAACCCCUAUUGUUAGUUGCCAUCAUUCAGUUGGGCACUCUAGCGAGACUGCCGGUAAUAAACCGGAGGAAGGUGGGGAUGACGUCAAAUCAUCAUGCCCCUUAUGACCUGGGCUACACACGUGCUACAAUGGUUGGUACAACGAGUUGCGAGUCGGUGACGGCGAGCUAAUCUCUUAAAGCCAAUCUCAGUUCGGAUUGUAGGCUGCAACUCGCCUACAUGAAGUCGGAAUCGCUAGUAAUCGCGGAUCAGCACGCCGCGGUGAAUACGUUCCCGGGCCUU